UAUACUAAGUAACCCAUAUGUUGAGGAGGCGGUGACUGUGGCCGUGAAGGAGGAGGAUGAGGUAGCCAACACUGUUUAUAUAUAUAUAUAUAUAUAUAUAUAUAAAUAUAUAUAUAUAUAUAUAUAUAUUUUUUUUUAUUUUUUUUUAAUUGGGGCAACCCCCAAAAUAUUGGGACAUAUAAAAAAGGACAACUCUGUUCUGCAGAGUAGCUGUGACAUUAUAGUUGCGCAGGAACUUUGUUGACUCUAGAGAACCUCGGGCAAAUCGCACAUCCCCGUGGCGGCGACUUUGCAUGCGGAUGUCAUCCAUAUCAACUUUCUAUGCCAGUUUCUGUGCCUACCAUGGUGACCACGGGUUACGGGGAAUCAGGGUUCUAUUCUGUACAGGGACCCUGAGAAACGGCUACCACAUGCAAGGAAGGCAGCAGGCGCGCAAAUGACCCACUCCAGACGCGGGAAGGUAGUGAUGACAAAUAACAAUACAGGACUCUUUAGAGGUACUUGGAAUCCUUUAACUCUGAUCAAUUGGAGGGAAGUCUGGUGCAAAGCCACUGACCCGUGCUUGCUGCAGCUGAAACUCCACUCUCG
Non-coding RNA from Pelobates cultripes (western spadefoot toad), 588 nucleotides. NCBI's taxonomy places the organism in Eukaryota, Metazoa, Chordata, Amphibia, Anura, Pelobatidae. The record is from the annotation of a GenBank genome assembly.